CUGCGGAAGGAUCAUUACUAGAGCAAAGGAUAGACAGCGCCCGCGGAGCUCGCUCCCGGGGCUACCCUACUCCCGUAGGGUUUAGAGUCGUCGGGCCUCUCGGAGAAGCUCGGUCCUGAACUCCACCCUUGAAUAAACUACCUUUGUUGCUUUGGCGGGCCGCCUCGUGCCAGCGGCUUCGGCUGUUGAGUGCCCGCCAGAGGACCCCAACUCUUGUUUUUAGUGAUGUCUGAGUACUAUAUAAUAGUUAAAACUUUCAACAACGGAUCUCUUGGUUCUGGCAUCGAUGAAGAACGCAGCGAAAUGCGAUAAGUAAUGUGAAUUGCAGAAUUCAGUGAAUCAUCGAAUCUUUGAACGCACAUUGCGCCCUCUGGUAUUCCGGGGGGCAUGCCUGUUCGAGCGUCAUUAUAACCACUCAAGCUCUCGCUUGGUAUUGGGGUUCGCGGUUUCGCGGCCCCUAAAAUCAGUGGCGGUGCCUGUCGGCUCUACGCGUAGUAAUACUCCUCGCGAUUGAGUCCGGUAGGUCUACUUGCCAGCAACCCCUAAUUUUUUUAAGGUUGACCUCGGAUCAGGUAGGGAUACCCGCUGAACUUAAGCAUAUCAAUAAGCGGAGGAAAAGAAACCAACAGGGAUUACCUCAGUAACGGCGAGUGAAGCGGUAACAGCUCAAAUUUGAAAGCUGGCUCUUUUAGGGUCCGCGUUGUAAUUUGUAGAAGAUGCUUCGGGUGUGGCCCCGG
RNAcentral lists this ribosomal RNA (737 nucleotides) under fungal sp. RNAcentral's name for it is "eukaryotic LSU rRNA". The stretch from base 252 to 405 matches the Rfam family "5.8S ribosomal RNA". The record is from RNAcentral. Lineage: Eukaryota; Fungi.